CCUACGGGAGGCAGCAGUGGGGAAUAUUGCACAAUGGGGGAAACCCUGAUGCAGCGACGCCGCGUGAGCGAAGAAGUAUUUCUGGAUUGAAAGCUUUAUCAGCAGGGAAGAAAAUGACGGUACCUGAGUUAGAAGCUCCGGCUAAAUACGUGCCAGCAGCCGCGGUAAUACGUAUGGAGCAAGCGUUAUCCGGAUUUACUGGGUGUAAAGGGAGCGCAGGCGGCCUUGCAAGUCUGAUGUGAAAUACCGGGGCUCAACCCCGGAGCUGCAUUGGAAACUGUGAGGCUGGAGUGUCGGAGAGGCAGGCGGAAUUCCUGGUGUAGCGGUGAAAUGCGUAGAUAUCAGGAGGAACACCAGUGGCGAAGGCGACCUGCUGGACGAUGACUGACGCUGAGGCUCGAAAGCGUGGGGAGCAAACAGGAUUAGAUACCCCUGUAGUC
Molecule: ribosomal RNA, 440 nt
Filed under: uncultured bacterium
Lineage: Bacteria
Description: partial 16S ribosomal RNA
Rfam family: Bacterial small subunit ribosomal RNA
Source: RNAcentral